This 543-nucleotide ribosomal RNA is filed under the name uncultured bacterium. Its description in RNAcentral is "bacterial SSU rRNA". It matches the Rfam family "Bacterial small subunit ribosomal RNA", at positions 353 to 887 of the family's 1533-position model. The record is from RNAcentral.
AGUGGGGAAUUUUGGACAAUGGGGGCAACCCUGAUCCAGCCAUGCCGCGUGAGUGAAGAAGGCCUUCGGGUUGUAAAGCUCUUUCGGCCGGGAAGAAAUCGUGCGGGCUAAUACCCUGUAUGGAUGACGGUACCGGAAGAAGAAGCACCGGCUAACUACGUGCCAGCAGCCGCGGUAAUACGUAGGGUGCGAGCGUUAAUCGGAAUUACUGGGCGUAAAGCGUGCGCAGGCGGUUUCGUAAGACAGAUGUGAAAUCCCCGGGCUUAACCUGGGAACUGCGCUUGUGACUGCGAGACUUGAGUGCGGCAGAGGGGGGUGGAAUUCCACGUGUAGCAGUGAAAUGCGUAGAGAUGUGGAGGAACACCGAUGGCGAAGGCAGCCCCCUGGGUCGACACUGACGCUCAUGCACGAAAGCGUGGGGAGCAAACAGGAUUAGAUACCCUGGUAGUCCACGCCCUAAACGAUGCGAACUAGGUGUUGGGGAAGGAGACUUCUUUAGUACCGUAGCUAACGCGUGAAGUUCGCCGCCUGGGGAGUACGGUC